This is a microRNA precursor of Oryza sativa Indica Group (long-grained rice), 188 nucleotides long. It matches the Rfam family "MIR812 microRNA precursor family". NCBI's taxonomy places the organism in Eukaryota, Viridiplantae, Streptophyta, Magnoliopsida, Poales, Poaceae. The record is from Rfam.
UAUUAUUGUACUGUUUAUCUGCAAGUUUGACCAUUCAUCUUAUUUUAAAAAAAAUAUUACGACUAGUAUUUUUGUUUUUAUUAAUGAUAAAACAUAAAUAGUACUAAAUUUUUUUUAUUUUUUUAUAAAUUUUUCAAAUAAGACGGACUGUCAAACGUUGAACACGGAAAUCCAUAACUGCAUUGAAA